UACGUAGGGUGCAAGCGUUGUCCGGAAUUAUUGGGCGUAAAGAGCUCGUAGGCGGUUCGUCGCGUCGGCUGUGAAAACCCGGAGCUCAACUCCGGGCCUGCAGUCGAUACGGGCGGACUCGAGUUCGGCAGGGGAGACUGGAAUUCCUGGUGUAGCGGUGGAAUGCGCAGAGUAUCAGGAGGAACACCAAUAGCGAAGGCAGCUCGCUGGGACGUUACUGACACUGAGGCGCGAAAGCGUGGGGAGCGAACAGGA
This 255-nucleotide ribosomal RNA is filed under the name uncultured bacterium. RNAcentral describes it as "partial 16S ribosomal RNA". It matches the Rfam family "Bacterial small subunit ribosomal RNA", at positions 524 to 777 of the family's 1533-position model. The record is from RNAcentral.